UAUCAAUAAAGCUUUUAUUGAGUGUUAUUUUGAAAAAGUAAAGGAAAUUGUAUAAUUUGUUGAUAA
This 66-nucleotide transfer RNA is filed under the name Polyascus gregaria. Its description in RNAcentral is "tRNA-Phe". The record is from RNAcentral. Lineage: Eukaryota; Metazoa; Arthropoda; Thecostraca; Sacculinidae.